This 200-nucleotide ribosomal RNA is filed under the name uncultured bacterium. RNAcentral describes it as "partial 16S ribosomal RNA". It matches the Rfam family "Bacterial small subunit ribosomal RNA", at positions 30 to 231 of the family's 1533-position model. The record is from RNAcentral.
AUUGAACGCCGGCGGCGUGCCUAACACAUGCAAGUCGAGCGGUAACAGGCGUAGCAAUACGUGCUGACGAGCGGCGAACGGGUGAGCAAUGCUUCGGAAUCUGCCCAAUGAUGGGGAAUAACCAGUCGAAAGAUUGGCUAAUACCGCAUACGCCCUACGGGGAAAGCGGGGUCGCAAGACCUCGCGUCGAUGGAUGAGCC